AUUGAACGCUGGCGGGAUGCUUUACACAUGCAAGUCGAACGGCAGCACGGGGGCAACCCUGGUGGCGAGUGGCGAACGGGUGAGUAAUACAUCGGAACGUGCCCAGUCGUGGGGGAUAACUACGCGAAAGCGUAGCUAAUACCGCAUACGAACUCUGGUUGAAAGCGGGGGAUCGCAAGACCUCGCGCGAUUGGAGCGGCCGAUGGCAGAUUAGGUAGUUGGUGAGGUAAAGGCUCACCAAGCCGACGAUCUGUAGCUGGUCUGAGAGGACGACCAGCCACACUGGGACUGAGACACGGCCCAGACUCCUACGGGAGGCAGCAGUGGGGAAUUUUGGACAAUGGGCGCAAGCCUGAUCCAGCCAUUCCGCGUGCAGGAUGAAGGCCCUCGGGUUGUAAACUGCUUUUGUACGGAACGAAACGGUCCUGGUUAAUACCCGGGGCUAAUGACGGUACCGUAAGAAUAAGCACCGGCUAACUACGUG
This 484-nucleotide ribosomal RNA is filed under the name uncultured bacterium. RNAcentral describes it as "partial 16S ribosomal RNA". It matches the Rfam family "Bacterial small subunit ribosomal RNA", at positions 30 to 507 of the family's 1533-position model. The record is from RNAcentral.